RNAcentral lists this transfer RNA (71 nucleotides) under bacterium. Its description in RNAcentral is "tRNA-His". It matches the Rfam family "tRNA". From Rfam's summary of the family: Transfer RNA (tRNA) molecules are approximately 80 nucleotides in length. Their secondary structure includes four short double-helical elements and three loops (D, anti-codon, and T loops). Further hydrogen bonds mediate the characteristic L-shaped molecular structure. tRNAs have two regions of fundamental functional importance: the anti-codon, which is responsible for specific mRNA codon recognition, and the 3' end, to which the tRNAs corresponding amino acid is attached (by aminoacyl-tRNA synthetases). tRNAs cope with the degeneracy of the genetic code in two manners: having more than one tRNA (with a specific anti-codon) for a particular amino acid; and 'wobble' base-pairing, i.e. permitting non-standard base-pairing at the 3rd anti-codon position. The record is from RNAcentral. RNAcentral also lists the same sequence under 1 other name.
GGGAUUAUGGUGUAAUGGCAGCACAGCAGUCUGUGGCACUGCUAGCUCGGGUUCAACUCCCGAUAAUCCCC